ACAUUAGCUCGACCUUCUUGUCAACAGACCGCCAGGUUGGUCUUAUAAAAUUGUUCCAUACGUUUAGUGGUGCUUUUACGACAGUUUGCAAGCAAUGCAGUACUUGGAAAAUGACACGUGUUUUACCAUAAAAUAAGGAAAUAUAUGCUAAAGUAGAAAAAUAAUAUGUAAAUUGUGUAAUACCAAACGUAUGUAUCCUUCGUAACGGCUGUAUUGUUUUCGAUCUGUCAAAUAAAUAUAUCGACGUCAUGGAUCAACUUUAUAUGCACAUGUUUCAUCCUCGCAGUAUCGGGCGACAGGGACAAUUUGUUAGCUGAUCAAACUAAUUACCAAGACAUAUUGACCGUACGACGUACGGAUCUUUCUCGAAGGAUUCUGACUACUUAAUUCAAAUCUAGGUUUUAACAUUGAUGACGUGCCACUAAAAUAUAUGAAAUUGUACCAUUGAUCUUCCACAAGGAAAUUGACACGUACCGAGCACCAUGGGAAUCUCAAUAUGGCAAGGAAGUUUUACAAAAUCAAUGGACGAGUUUUCAAUCUGAUCAAAAGGAAAUAAAAUUGUUUAUGAUACGAAUGUAACUUUAAAUGGCUUUGAAUGAAAAUCUUUGAUUUAUAUGGGAUAGCGAUACUAUCUGUAACUGGAUAAGCAAACAAAAAUGUAAUAUGAAAAAUUGGAAAAUAUGAUUACAGAGAAUUUUACUUGUUUUAAAAAAAAAAAUAUAAACAGGUAUCGCGUGCCUAUAGGUAUAAGGAUCCGAGAAAUAUCGAUAAGUAAAAAUACGAGUAUUUCCAAAAAGUUGCUUAUACGCGAUAAUUCAGAUCUAGCAUCCUGUGGUAGAAAUUAAUGGAUAUUUUUUCUGAUUCUUAUAAUAUAGUAUAAUGAAAAUAUAUUAUCUGAUUUAUUUCUGUGAGUUCUGUCGAGUUUCUAUCUAUAGAAACCGAAGGAUUUACACGACCUAAGAUGCCUUCGAAUUUAGCUAUACAGGGUGUCCAGAAAGUGCCGCCUAUGGUUAGUAUAGCGCUACACCUGGUCAAAAACUGAGUCUAAAUGUCCUGUACCAUUUUUGCGCAUGAUGCUCUAUUAAAAAGUAAUUGUGGUGUGCUUUAAAUUUUCAUAUUACUCAUUCGUCACAUACCAAAGUUAACGCCGCGUAUUGUGAAUUCGCUCAAACUAUUCGUUAAUGUGUACUAAGCAUAAUCUCAUUUCUGAUUGGCUAAUUAUAAUUCUUAAUAACUUGUUAAUAAGACACAACACAAAAAAAUAAUUAAGGACUUUUUGACUUAGUUUUGUAUGAGGAAUAUCGGGAUGAUAAUCAUAUGCGUUAAUUUCUGGACACCCCGUAUAUACUUUUUCGUUCAACUAUCCACAUUGGAGUUAGGGAUCCUCGUUAUGGAACUAUGUAUCGCGAGAGGAUUCUUUCAAGGAAAAAACUAGAUGAAGAGUGAAACGAGAAAGACGGAUAGGCUGAGCAGAGCUAAUAAAGGACAUAAAAUGUGAAAGGAUCACGUCAAAUCAUGAAUUCAAUAUCUGUCAGCUGUUACUUGGGAUUGGGAAAACCAGAAAGGACGCCAAGUAAGGAAGACUAUUUUUACCACGCUUCUUGGAAAACUGGCAAAGCAUCAAAAAGGAAAAAGAUAGAAGGGGAUGAACAUUCUAAUCUGGUUUAUGAGAGCAAAUUGCAGGAAGUUUAUGGCGCGUAAUGGGUUCCUCGCCGGAUUCAAAGUUAGGGGUUGCAUUCAGAUAGACAUUACCCCCCAGCUGAAUGGUUCCAUAAUCGAAUUUCGCUGUACGAAAUAAAUUAACAAUUAAUCCAAAAAAAAGUCGUGAUCGACU
Long non-coding RNA from Cephus cinctus (wheat stem sawfly), 1834 nucleotides. RefSeq lists it as uncharacterized. Lineage: Eukaryota; Metazoa; Arthropoda; Insecta; Hymenoptera; Cephidae. The record is from RefSeq and is a predicted model, not a curated record. The transcript is spliced from 3 exons.